UGCGUAGGUGGUCGUUUAAGUCCGUUGUGAAAGCCCUGGGCUCAACCUGGGAACUGCAGUGGAUACUGGGCGACUGGAAUGUGGUAGAGGGUAGCGGAAUUCCUGGUGUAGCAGUGAAAUGCGUAGAGAUCAGGAGGAACAUCCAUGGCGAAGGCAGCUACCUGGACCAACAUUGACACUGAGGCACGAAAGCGUGGGAGCAAACA
This 206-nucleotide ribosomal RNA is filed under the name uncultured bacterium. Its description in RNAcentral is "partial 16S ribosomal RNA". It matches the Rfam family "Bacterial small subunit ribosomal RNA", at positions 568 to 774 of the family's 1533-position model. The record is from RNAcentral.